RNAcentral lists this transfer RNA (65 nucleotides) under Dipodomys ordii (Ord's kangaroo rat). It matches the Rfam family "tRNA". From Rfam's summary of the family: Transfer RNA (tRNA) molecules are approximately 80 nucleotides in length. The record is from Rfam by way of RNAcentral. Lineage: Eukaryota; Metazoa; Chordata; Mammalia; Rodentia; Heteromyidae.
GGUGGCUCAGUGGUAGAGUGCUUGCCUUGCAAGCAUAAGGCCCUGGGUUCAAUUCCUCAGCACCA